GCCCUCUAGUAAGGGUAAGGAUAUCGUACCCGAGGACCAGGAGUAGGAGUACUCCCAUUAUAGUGAGUAAUUAGACGAUCAUCUUAACUAUCUAAAGUAGUUUAUACUCAUUUUUUAUGAUUUUAAAGAAUAAUGAACUUAAAUUGUAAACUAUUAUGUUUUAUAACUAAAGUGUUGGUUAAAUGAAAUGAGAUUCAUAAUUUGGUUUGAAAUUGAAUCCUGGUUUUGGAAAUUGAGUAAGUGGAGACUAUAUACUUGUGUUAUAUAUAUGUUUUGACUAUUGUUAGUUAUGCUGACCUUGCUUUGUAAUAAAUGUAUCGGCAUAACGGGAUUUAUAAUUGACAUAUGGUUUGAAUUGAUGGCUUAUGACAAUGUGAUGACAUGAAUGGCUGGUUUUGUGUUUUUGUGGAAUAUAUGAAUUGUUUUGUUUUACCCUGAUAGGCUGGGUAAUAUUACAUUAGCCAUGUCAUGCUACCGAAAUUUUUAUUGAUUUGGUGGAGUAAUUGAUUAGCUUACUGCAGUGGGCGGGUUUCCGUAGAUUGACUUAUUAGAGGGGCACGGUAAAUCCCGUCAUAUUUUACCUUAGUAUGAGGGGCGCAGAGGGUAUCUCCUAAGGUAGUUUAGAGUUCACUUCAUGUCGAACCACCACGUGAGAGUGAAACUCAGCCAACGUCAAGGAACGACUAUGUUUUUAAAGUAAAAAAAAAAACAUGUUUUAUGUGUGUAUGUUAUUUUAACAGCCUUGACGGACUCGGUUGGAAGCCCGGUGCAAUGUGUCAUCGAAUACGAGUUUUGGCACGAGUCAAGUUUUAAAAGAGUCAUAAGCCUUGUUGAUUAUUUUUGAUGAAAUGCAAUUGUUUUAUAUGGUUGAAAUGAGUUUUAAUGUUAUGAAUUAUAUUAUGAAGAGAUGUUUUAAUUGUCUCCAUUUACUCGACUUUAGAUGUUAUAGAUGAACUUUGCUUACUCACUGGGUUUAUAAAAACUCAUCCCCUUCUUUUCACCCAUUUCAGGUUCAGAGCAGUUUGUAGACAGUCGAUUUUGUCGAGGGUUUGCUUUUGGAUUUGCACCCUUAGAAAUCGUAGGUCUACAGUCUUAUUUAUUUUUGUUAUUUUGGGGCUCACAUGUCAUUGUAAAAUAUUUUUGUAUACC
RNAcentral lists this long non-coding RNA (1149 nucleotides) under Theobroma cacao (cacao). RNAcentral describes it as "long non-coding RNA (TCAC_LNC000482)". The record is from RNAcentral. Lineage: Eukaryota; Viridiplantae; Streptophyta; Magnoliopsida; Malvales; Malvaceae.